CGCAUCGCUGGGUAGCUAUGUAUGGAUGAGAUAAACGCUGAAAGCAUCUAAGUGUGAAACUCGCCUCAAGAUGAGAUUUCCCAUUCCUAUAUGGAAGUAAGACCCCUGAGAGAUGAUCAGGUAGAUAGGCUGGAAGUAGCAGCGCCGUGAGGCGUGGAGCGGACCAGUACUAAUCGGUCGAGGACUUAACCAAG
Molecule: ribosomal RNA, 194 nt
Filed under: Levilactobacillus brevis
Lineage: Bacteria; Bacillati; Bacillota; Bacilli; Lactobacillales; Lactobacillaceae
Description: Lactobacillus brevis partial 23S ribosomal RNA
Rfam family: Bacterial large subunit ribosomal RNA
Source: RNAcentral